RNAcentral lists this unclassified non-coding RNA (765 nucleotides) under Zea mays. RNAcentral describes it as "misc RNA Zm00001eb382620". Lineage: Eukaryota; Viridiplantae; Streptophyta; Magnoliopsida; Poales; Poaceae. The record is from RNAcentral.
CUGGAUAAAAUCCUGCGCACCGAGGUUCUUCCUCAUGGCGCUCGGCCUCUUCCCAGCGCUACCGGCCAUCCCUCUGCUCGCCCUCGCUCCUCUGUUGGCUCAGACCGCACCCCCUUCUCGGCCCCAUCUCCAUGGCGUCCGGCCGGAUCUCCAGUGCCGCGCCGGCUUGGAGCUUCCAUGGCCGCAUCUCUUUUUCCCUGUGAUUUCAUGGCGUCCCUGCGUCGCAUAUUCCCUGAGCUCGUCGCCAUGGCUGCACCCAGCUGCUCCUCCAUGGCUCGUCUCUCCUUGGCACCCAGCCGAGCCCCUCCGCACGCCCAGAUGCCUGCUCGCUGCCAGCUCGCCCUGCUCUCUGUUUUCUCUCUCUGCCGCGCCCGCUGUUGGUUCGCUCUGCUCGCGGCCAGAGCUCCACUGCGUCGCGCCCAAGCUUCUGGCGUCUUCCUCCCCUGCGCAGAGUCUCAGCCUGCUUGUCGAGCCCAGCCGCCCUUCCCUUUGAUUCUCCCUCGCCCAUGGUCGAGUUCGCCCCAGCGCCGUGCUCUGCGCGCGACCGUUUCCUGUUCCCUGCGCGCGUCGAGCUCUCGUGCCGAGUCCCUCUGUUGCGUGCCCAGCCUCAAGUUCCUGUGCGCGCGCUCCACUGUUCCCUGGGUGAGUUCCUCGCUGCCACAGUUGUCUGGUGUUUGGCCCGCGUCGAUUCGCGUUCGCUCAUAUCGCCAUCGUCGUGUUGUCGCUGGUGAUAGCUUCGCGUGCGCGUCAAACUCCCGCGUCUAA